CAAGUAUGAAAGACGGUUGCGAGUCCAUAGGACUCGAGGAAAGUCCGAGCUCCAUAGGGCAGGAUGCCAGAUAACGUCUGGCGAGGGUAACCUUAGGGAAAGUGCCAUAGAAAAGGAAACCGCCACGUCAGUGGUAAGGGUGGAAAGGUGAGGUAAGAGCUCACCAGCAGUUUGGUAACAGGCUGGCUCGGUAAACCCCAUCCGGAGCAAGACCGAAUAGGGAAGGGUUAAGGGUGGUCCCGCCUACCUUCCGGGUUGUGUCGCUCGAGCG
This 271-nucleotide RNase P RNA is filed under the name Veillonella sp. RNAcentral's name for it is "partial RNase P RNA component class A". It matches the Rfam family "Bacterial RNase P class A", at positions 1 to 286 of the family's 367-position model. Rfam says of the family: Ribonuclease P (RNase P) is a ubiquitous endoribonuclease, found in archaea, bacteria and eukarya as well as chloroplasts and mitochondria. Its best characterised activity is the generation of mature 5'-ends of tRNAs by cleaving the 5'-leader elements of precursor-tRNAs. Cellular RNase Ps are ribonucleoproteins. The record is from RNAcentral. Lineage: Bacteria; Bacillati; Bacillota; Negativicutes; Veillonellales; Veillonellaceae.